RNAcentral lists this ribosomal RNA (446 nucleotides) under uncultured bacterium. RNAcentral's name for it is "SSU rRNA". It matches the Rfam family "Bacterial small subunit ribosomal RNA", at positions 26 to 518 of the family's 1533-position model. The record is from RNAcentral.
AGAACGAACGCUGGCGGCAGGCUUAACACAUGCAAGUCGAGCGCCCCGCAAGGGGAGCGGCAGACGGGUGAGUAACGCGUGGGAAUCUACCCAAUUCUACGGAAUAGCUUCGGGAAACUGGAAUUAAUACCGUAUACGCCCUACGGGGGAAGAUUUAUCGGAGUUGGAUGAGCCCGCGUUGGAUUAGCUAGUUGGUGGGGUAAUGGCCUACCAAGGCGACGAUCCAUAGCUGGUCUGAGAGGAUGAUCAGCCACACUGGGACUGAGACACGGCCCAGACUCCUACGGGAGGCAGCAGUGGGGAAUAUUGGACAAUGGGCGAAAGCCUGAUCCAGCCAUGCCGCGUGAGUGAUGAAGGCCUUAGGGUUGUAAAGCUUCUUUCAGUGGGGAAGAUAAUGACGGUACCCACAGAAGAACGCCCCGGACUAACUUCGUGCCAGCAGCCGC